AUGGAUUUCAUCGAGGGCCUUCCCAAGGUGGGCGGCAAGUCCGUCAUCCUUACGGUGGUCGACCGCUUCUCCAAGUACGCGCACUUCAUCGCGCUCGGCCAUCCCUACACUGCCGCCUCCGUGGCGCAUGCCUUCUUUGAUGGCAUCGUCUGCCUCCACGGGUUCCCCUCUUCGAUUGUCAGCGACCGGGACCCGGUGUUCACGGGGCAUGUCUGGCACGAUCCCUUCCGGAUGGCGGGUGUGAAGCUACGCCUGAGUACGACCUUCCAUCCUCAGACGGACAGCCAAUCUGAGGUGGUCAACAAGGUGAUUGUCAUGUAUUUGCAUUGUGCUACAGGUGAUCGUCCCCGUGCUUGGGUGGACUGGCUCGCAUGGGCGAAGUAA
Molecule: ribosomal RNA, 384 nt
Filed under: Triticum aestivum (bread wheat)
Lineage: Eukaryota; Viridiplantae; Streptophyta; Magnoliopsida; Poales; Poaceae
Description: partial small subunit ribosomal RNA
Source: RNAcentral